UACGUAGGUGGCUAGCGUUGUCCGGAUUUACUGGGCGUAAAGAGCGCGCAGGCGGUCGUUCAAGUCGAGUGUGAAAGCCCCCGGCUCAACUGGGGAGGGUCACUCGAUACUGAUCGACUCGAAGGCAGGAGAGGGAAGCGGAAUUCCCGGUGUAGUGGUGAAAUGCGUAGAUAUCGGGAGGAACACCAGUGGCGAAGGCGGCUUUCUGGCCUGUUCUUGACGCUGAGGCGCGAAAGCUAGGGUAGCAAACGGG
RNAcentral lists this ribosomal RNA (253 nucleotides) under uncultured bacterium. RNAcentral describes it as "partial 16S ribosomal RNA". It matches the Rfam family "Bacterial small subunit ribosomal RNA", at positions 524 to 776 of the family's 1533-position model. The record is from RNAcentral.